GAAUAACAGCUGCUAUUCUGAAUUAACUUUGCUGUGUAGACACAUCCUAAUAGAAGACUGCACCAGCCCUGGUUCCCUAACCUGCAGCAAGUAGUUCCAAUGCAAAGUAACUUCUUUUCCAAGUGGAAAUGUUGGGCAAGCAUGGAAUAAGUACGAUAACAGAAGGAAGUGAGGAUAAAGUCCAAUUCCCGUUGACCUUGUAGCCUUAUUUGACUUCAGGCCAGAGUCCAGGAGAAUAGAUUUUUUGCACACGAAUAUAUAUUGGUCCCUUCUGCUUUAUCACAUCUGGGCUAUGUCUACAUUGGCUGAGCAAGUUACAGCACUAUAAAGCACAAGAAACUAUUAGGUCCUCCCCUUGUGGAGGUAGUUUACAUAGAGUGAAGGAAGAACACUCUCCUAGUAUUCUUGCCAUGGCCCCACAUUCACUUUAAACCAGUGCCACAGCUGCGCUUUAAUUUUAGACAUGGAUAGGAUAAUCAGAAUCUCAUUCACUUUCCUCCCCUAAAUUCUGAACAUUUGGGAGAGGGAACACAAGGUCAGUUUGCUAUCUGCUUGAUCCUUCUUUCUAUACCAGCCUAGUAAGCAAACACCAGCCAGAGAGUCUUUAAAGAUGCUAAUUUUCAAUUAAAUCUUUUUGUUUAGGCAGGCAUAGAAUGGGAUUAGCUGUGUUUUGUCCUCCUCAUUCAAAAGCUGAAAGGCUUUAAAUUAAGUUUGUUUAAAGUUUGUAUACUGACUUUGAAGAGCUAACAGUACAAAAACGACACCUGGUAGCAGCCAGAGUCCCACACAAGGCCCAGAGUCUUAUCAAAUGUCUGUGUCAAAGGUUCCCAGAUGAUCUCCCAGUAGAUUUUACUAUAGAAUUUCUUCAAUUUUUUUAAUUCAUAUCACUCUCAGAUAUAGAGAGAAAAGAUGACAAAUGCUUAUCUAUUUGAAUGUACCAAGUUAUCAUUGAAUCCAGUGCAAUAGUGUUUCCCAAAUAUUGAAACUGCGUAUUUGUCACUAAUGACCUCUAACUGUAUAGAGAAUGUUCCUUCUUUCUCCUAGCAAGAGUCAAAAAUGUCCUCUCAUCAACCAUGACUCAGGAGCAUUGAAAAUGAAAACAUCAGGUCUUUGAAUUAUGAUUCAUUCAUGACUGUCACAGCUAAAGCUGGAGAGGAAAUUGUUUGAAGAAUUGAGUGCAGCUGGUUUUGCACUUAAGCAUUAGGAGCCCUUCAGGCAGUCUGACCAGAACAGAGAGAGGUGAGGACUCCAUUUCUUAUCUGGGCUACAUCAUCACUUAUAGGGAGCUGUGAUCGAAUCCUGAGGAAGCAGACAGCCAUCCUUCUAGGAUCCUGGGGCCAUCCCGCGGGCUAUUUCUCACAGUCAACGUCUUUGUGCCAUGCUCCUCCUCCUUGGUGAAUGGGUCCCCAGACCAGGAUGAGCCAUGUGCUAUCUCCCUCCUGUAAACAGCAACCCAGUGUGGGUAAAGCAGUU
Non-coding RNA from Pelodiscus sinensis (Chinese soft-shelled turtle), 1473 nucleotides. The record is from RefSeq and is a predicted model, not a curated record. NCBI's taxonomy places the organism in Eukaryota, Metazoa, Chordata, Testudines, Trionychidae.